Molecule: ribosomal RNA, 447 nt
Filed under: uncultured bacterium
Lineage: Bacteria
Description: bacterial SSU rRNA
Rfam family: Bacterial small subunit ribosomal RNA
Source: RNAcentral
UCGGGAAUUUUGGGCAAUGGGCGAAAGCCUGACCCAGCAACGCCGCGUGAAGGAUGAAGUAUUUCGGUAUGUAAACUUCGAAAGAAUAGGAAGAAUAAAUGACGGUACUAUUUAUAAGGUCCGGCUAACUACGUGUCAGCAGCCGCGGUAAUACGUAGGGACCAAGCGUUGUUCGGAUUUACUGGGCGUAAAGGGCGCGUAGGCGGCGUAAUAAGUCACUUGUGAAAUCUCCGGGCUUAACUCGGAGCGGCCAAGUGAUACUGUUAGGCUAGAGUGCAGAAAGGGCAAUCGGAAUUCUUGGUGUAGCGGUGAAAUGCGUAGAUAUCAAGAGGAACACCUGAGGCGAAGGCGGGUUGCUAGGCUGACACUGACGCUGAGGCGCGAAAGCUAGGGUAGCAAACGGGAUUAGAUACCCUGGUAGUCCCUGAGCGGGCUGGCAAGGCGCAU